Molecule: small nuclear RNA, 125 nt
Organism: Ochotona princeps (American pika)
Lineage: Eukaryota; Metazoa; Chordata; Mammalia; Lagomorpha; Ochotonidae
Source: Ensembl
GUGUCCUGCAGGUCGGGACAUUCACUUCAGCAGCACAUAUACUAAAAUUGGAACCAUACAGAGAAGAUUAGCAUGGCCCCUGCGCAAGGAUAAAAAUAAUCUUUUUAAAAAAUUUAACCAAUUUA